AACCCCCCCCCAAUCUGCAUCUUCUAGCCAUGUAAUGGGAAGUCGGGGUCCCCGUGCCUGACCCUGCUGGGCCCAUCUGGAGGCAAUUCUCUUUCCACAUCUGAAAAAAACAAAAUGAACACAUGCCUUCUGCUGCUAUCAGAUAUUUAAAAAGUCUCUCCCCCCCCAAUUUUUCUUUUCUCUUUAAAUCUCUCACAGAGAUGGGGAGGGGAAAAUGUCUCUUUAAGAUUGUCAGCCCCAAAGAAUGAGGAAAAGGGGCUUGCAGCUGUUAUUACUGUGGUUUUCAGUGGGAACAGGGAAAAGACUGAGGAGAGGGAGUAAAACUGCAAUUGAGAGAGAGAGAAAGAGAGAGAGAGAGAGAGAGAGAGAGAUAGAAGGCUUCCCCAGAAGCUGGCUGGGGAGAGGGAGUAAGAGAGAGAGAGAGAGAGUGAAGGCUUCCCCAGAAGCUGGCUGGACAACUUGCACUUUCCAAGAGGGGUUUAUCCUGCACCAGAUCUCUCUCCCUGACCUGACCUGGUGGUCAAAAGCCUUGACAGUGGGACCGGCUUCUGAGGAAUAUAUAUAUAUAUGGUCAUUGUGGGGGUAUUACAGGACUGGCUGGAGCGGAUUGUGCCUGGAGUCACAGAAGAGAAACAAUUGGGUGAAAUUCACAAGAAAGGCUCAGCUGCAAUUUGGAAGAUUAUUCAGAAUUCUUCUCUCCUCCCCCCCCCGAGUUCUCAACCCUCAACCAGAAAAAGGGAUGAGACCAUUCUCUGUGACUCAGGAUUCCCACAAACCCUCAUAUCAUCCUCUGUAUGGCAGAAACAGUUGUUCCUGUGGGCAUCGGCUGGAAGACAUCAUGAUGGCCUGCCCUGGAUUCCAGAGACACUUUCAAGCCUGGGAAAAUACCCAGGUUGGCACCAGCUGCUUGCACCUUGGCCGAAGUGGUGCCAGCAACAGACUGCCCGGAGUAGACCUGUUCUAG
This 964-nucleotide long non-coding RNA is filed under the name Pogona vitticeps (central bearded dragon). RNAcentral describes it as "lncRNA (ENSPVIG00000006404.1)". Lineage: Eukaryota; Metazoa; Chordata; Lepidosauria; Squamata; Agamidae. The record is from RNAcentral.